GCACGCUGCCUGCUAAUUAUCUACAAGCUAUGUUUCAAUUUGUUCAUUUCUAAUUAUUUUCAAAAAGUAUUAUUUUCAGUUUGAAAUGAGGUGCGUUCUGCCUCAUUAAUUCACAUAAAAGUAGCCCAUUUCACUGUGGCAGAUUAUUUACUUUUGAAGCAUGUUAUGCUAAUGUAGGACGAGGAUUAUCUAGAUGAGCUAGCCAAACUUCUCCCUUUGAUGAGAGUCCAAGCACUAUCCCAGUGUUUCCCCAGGUCAAUGUAAAAUGGAUCGGACCUAAAAUUGAGCCCUGGGGAACUCUUUGUGUAAGCCUUCGAAACUCAGAUUUCAUACCCUCCUGAGCUACACACUGUGUUCUGUCAGAAAGGCAACAUAUCCCAAGGAACCCAGCUUCUGCAGCCAUCGUGAGGACUCAGCAGGAGGAUGGCCCCAUCCGUCCAACCCACAGAACCAACUCCAAUACUGGAAAUUGCAGCCGGUAGCAACAAGAAGUGCUGCAAUGUGUGUGGACGCAAGAAGGACAGGAAGACACAGCACACAUGCAUCAAGUGCAAGAAAUACAUUUGCAAUACUCACACAGUAAAACUCUGUCCCUCGUGGUGUGUAGACCAGCC
Molecule: long non-coding RNA, 614 nt
Filed under: Salmo salar (Atlantic salmon)
Lineage: Eukaryota; Metazoa; Chordata; Actinopteri; Salmoniformes; Salmonidae
Description: lncRNA (ENSSSAG00000089953.1)
Source: RNAcentral